This 786-nucleotide small RNA is filed under the name Pongo abelii (Sumatran orangutan). Its description in RNAcentral is "processed transcript". The record is from RNAcentral. Lineage: Eukaryota; Metazoa; Chordata; Mammalia; Primates; Hominidae.
GAAAGUUUUGGACCCCUUGGGCUUUUCUAUGAGUACUUAGAAACAGUUAUUCAAUUUGGAUUUGUUACACUAUUUGUGGCCUCUUUUCCUUUGGCUCCUCUUCUUGCUCUCAUAAAUAAUAUUGUAGAGAUUCGAGUGGAUGCCUGGAAACUUACCACUCAAUACAGGAGAACUGUAGCUUCUAAAGCUCAUAGCAUAGGUGUUUGGCAAGACAUUCUUUAUGGAAUGGCUGUCCUUUCUGUUGCAACUAAUGCCUUUAUUGUUGCAUUUACGUCGGACAUCAUUCCCCGUCUAGUUUACUACUAUGCUUACUCAACAAAUGCCACACAGCCUAUGACAGGAUAUGUGAAUAAUAGCCUGUCAGUAUUCCUGAUAGCUGAUUUUCCAAACCACACUGCACCUUCGGAAAAACGAGACUUCAUCACUUGCAGGUACAGAGAUUACAGAUAUCCUCCUGAUGAUGAGAAUAAAUAUUUUCAUAAUAUGCAAUUCUGGCAUGUCCUUGCUGCUAAGAUGACCUUCAUCAUUGUUAUGGAAGCUCCACCCAAGCAUCAUCCUGGGACUUCUCUUCAUCUUGUCUUCUAUUGAAGACUGUAUUUUCUGCAAUCUAUGUUUCUCCCAUUUUUGGUUUACUAGCUUAUUUUGGUGAAGCACAUCUUCCAGUAAUUUUCUGAGGAAAAAUUAUGGACAGUCCAUUUUUGAGAAAUUGAAUAUUGAAAAUUUCUUUUCUUUCCUUACAUGUGAUUAUUUGGAAUAGAAUUUAUAAUUAAAAGUUGUUUUUCUUAA